GUGGCCAAAGCCUAUUCAAACCAAUGUAUAUGGCCUGUGGCUUCUUUGCCCUUUUAACCUUCAUCACUCAUGAUUAUUAAUUUUAUCAAUUAUUUAUCCAACUUCAUGCUUGUACAUAACUUUAUCAAUUUUGUGAUUCAUUGAGUGUGGGUUCCUAGAUCAUUGUUACUUUCUUUUAUGUUUGUUAACUGAAUUUGUGAUAAUGUUAAAUGAUGCAGCUCUCUCG
RNAcentral lists this unclassified non-coding RNA (226 nucleotides) under Hevea brasiliensis (rubber tree). Lineage: Eukaryota; Viridiplantae; Streptophyta; Magnoliopsida; Malpighiales; Euphorbiaceae. The record is from RNAcentral.